CGCGUCGUAGCUCAACUGGGAGAGCAUCGAGAAUUCUCUGGUUCAAAAACUUCGUCAGCCCCUUCUUUACGUACAUUCCCGACUGCCGAAUUGGAGUCCAUGGAUCAUGACCCCGGAGGUUGCGGGUUCGAGUCCCGCCGGCGCUA
This 146-nucleotide transfer RNA is filed under the name Blastopirellula sediminis. Its description in RNAcentral is "tRNA-OTHER". It matches the Rfam family "tRNA". From Rfam's summary of the family: Transfer RNA (tRNA) molecules are approximately 80 nucleotides in length. Their secondary structure includes four short double-helical elements and three loops (D, anti-codon, and T loops). Further hydrogen bonds mediate the characteristic L-shaped molecular structure. tRNAs have two regions of fundamental functional importance: the anti-codon, which is responsible for specific mRNA codon recognition, and the 3' end, to which the tRNAs corresponding amino acid is attached (by aminoacyl-tRNA synthetases). tRNAs cope with the degeneracy of the genetic code in two manners: having more than one tRNA (with a specific anti-codon) for a particular amino acid; and 'wobble' base-pairing, i.e. permitting non-standard base-pairing at the 3rd anti-codon position. Lineage: Bacteria; Pseudomonadati; Planctomycetota; Planctomycetia; Pirellulales; Pirellulaceae. The record is from RNAcentral.